AAUACACUCAAAGUAGUCUUAAAAUAAAACCCACAAAACAGUUCAAGAUUUAAUACUUUUUAUUUGCUCAUUUAAUGCCAGUUGCCCUGUUUUUCUGUAUGUCACUCAUUCGCUUAUACUUGGGCAAAAAGGACCAAUUUGUACACUAGUAUAGUGUAUUUUUUCCCUCUAUCUCUCUAUGUCUGUCACACACAGAGACCAACACACAGACAUGUAUAUGCUCAUUAUUGCUGUUCAAACUGAUGGUCAAAUUUCCAAGCACCACCUGAACGCCUCAUCUGUUUUUAACCUAUCACUGGACCAACUGUCGUCAUUCCGCUUCGCUCUCUGCUGUGGAACCUGACUGACACUGUGCUUUGCCUGUGUGCAGAAGAAGAACAAGGACCAGAUCUCCAGUCUUCUCUCUCACAUCCCAACCCCCCAACCCCUCUAUCCUCUGUCCUGCUCCACCUGUUGUCUCUGCCUUCUUUCCAUCUGUAUUUCACUCUGUGGUUUGUGAGAAAUUUUGCCAAACCAAGAAUCUUAUUGCGGUUUGAUUUAAAGCCGUGUCUCUCCUGCUCUGUCUGUUCUCUCUGCUAAAUUUUCUCUCUACCUGUUUUUCACUCUUGGCUUGCUGCUGAAAAACGCCAAGCCAACAAAGCAAUAAAGAGUGCAUAUUUUGCCUCAACCUAUGAACAAACUGAACAAACAAAGAAAAAUCUGCGGUUUGAUUUAAAGCCGUGUCUCUCCUGCUCUGCCUGUUCUCACUGCUAAAUUUUCUCUCUACCUGUUUUUCACUCUUGGCUUGCUGCUGAAAAACGCCAAGCCAUUAAAGCAAUAAAGAGUGCAUAUAUUGCCUCUACCUGAGAACAAACUGAACAAACAAAGAAAACUAAUUCACGGUUUGAUUGUGAUUUCCCAGCCGUGUCUCUCCUGCUCUGCCUGUUCUCUCUUCUAAAUUUUCUCUCUACCUGUUUUUCACUCUUGGCUUGCUGCUGAAAAAUGCCAAGCCAAUAAAGAGAGUGCAUAAUAUUCUCUCAACUGAAGAACAAACUGUCAAACGAAAGACAACUGUUUAAGACAAAUAAAAACUGAAAUAUAAAAACAAA
This is a non-coding RNA of Maylandia zebra (zebra mbuna), 1088 nucleotides long. The record is from RefSeq and is a predicted model, not a curated record. NCBI's taxonomy places the organism in Eukaryota, Metazoa, Chordata, Actinopteri, Cichliformes, Cichlidae.